AGCUGCCUGAUGAAGAGCUGUCC
Molecule: microRNA, 23 nt
Filed under: Euprymna scolopes
Lineage: Eukaryota; Metazoa; Mollusca; Cephalopoda; Sepiida; Sepiolidae
Also listed under: 10 other names
Description: Esc-Mir-22-P1_3p (mature (guide))
Source: RNAcentral